Molecule: unclassified non-coding RNA, 345 nt
Filed under: soil metagenome
Description: partial contains 5.8S ribosomal RNA, internal transcribed spacer 2, and large subunit ribosomal RNA
Rfam family: 5.8S ribosomal RNA (bases 1-119)
Source: RNAcentral
GAUGAAGAACGUAGCGAAAUGCGAUACGUAAUGUGAAUUGCAAAUUCAGUGAAUCAUCGAGUCUUUGAACGCACAUUGCGCCCCCUGGUAUUCCGGGUGGCAUGCCUGUCCGAGCGUCAUUGCUGCCCUCAAGCACGGCUUGUGUGUUGGGCCCCGUCCUCCGAUCCCGGGGGACGGGCCCGAAAGGCAGCGGCGGCACCGCGUCCGGUCCUCGAGCGUAUGGGGCUUUGUCACCCGCUCUGUAGGCCCGGCCGGCGCUUGCCGAUCAACCCAAAUUUUUAUCCAGGUUGACCUCGGAUCAGGUAGGGAUACCCGCUGAACUUAAGCAUAUCAAUAAGCGGAGGA